Long non-coding RNA from Myotis davidii, 1325 nucleotides. RefSeq lists it as uncharacterized. The transcript has 2 exons. NCBI's taxonomy places the organism in Eukaryota, Metazoa, Chordata, Mammalia, Chiroptera, Vespertilionidae. The record is from RefSeq and is a predicted model, not a curated record.
UCUAGGGGGUGCAGCCUGAGGAGAGAAUGGAGCUGUGAGGUGGUGCUGCCGGUGGGCUGGGAAGACGGUGGUGAGCUGAGGAGCAGGCCCAGCUAGAGGGGGAGCCAGCCGCGUGGCACAGGCUGGGCCUCGCUGGCAGCUGAGAAUUCAACAGCAGUGAGGGCAGGCGCCCGAUCCUGCUCUCGGCUCCAAAACACAGAACGUGACUUAAGAACACCGUGGGCAGCGCCCAAGUAAGAAAGGCCGGCUGGUGAGACCCAGGAUCCACAGCUGGCGGCAUCACAUCCCCAAAGAUGAAGAGAAAAGGAAACACCGCUGACUUCUGUCCUCUGGAAAGCCAAGGGGCAGAUGACUGUAGAGACUGGAGAAGGCGAACACCCAGUCAGCAGUGGGGGAACAAACAAAAUCAAGCUGUUUUACCCCAAAGAAGAUUCAGAAAGUUCAGGAGUCGGAGGUACCAGGCACACCUGGCCGUGCAGGGUGAGGGGUGCCUGCAGGUCAGGGAGACUGAUAGCAGCUGGGCAGGGCAAGGGCAAGGGCCAGCUCUAGGCUCUGCACAGGCUGCUGAGCGGACAGCGGGCUCUGCUGUCGCUUGGAUUCUGGGUCUCCUCCCAUCUUGGCCAAAGGCUGGUUGAGGCAGGAGACCAACUGAGGAAGUUAAGGGGUUAAGUGAAGUCACACUGUGUGCUGAGCAGCAGCCUCUCCAGGAUACUGGCAGAAGGCUGGAAGUGCCUUCCUGGGGGCUCGGGUGCCCCAAACCAGCCAGAGUACCCGACAGAUCCGUCACUGGCACCCACAGACACCCCCUCUCUCCACUCACAUCCCCUAAGAUGUAGGUCUUGGGGAGUGAUGCCUCCAUGUCCUUCCCAGCCCCUCACCCACCUGCUCAGAUUGGUGGUCCCCGUCUUAAACGUAAGCAGAUGACUUGGAGGGAACAGAGACCAUAUUGGGAGAAGAAAACCUAGAACAAGUUACUGCUAUUCUCAGAGAAAUAAAGACAUUGUAACUGUGAGGACAGCAGGAAGUGGCUAUAAAAACGAAAGCUCAGGGAAUGGAACCUCCUGGAAGUUAAAACCAACGAGCAGAUAUGAGCGUCUCCACGGAGGGUCUGGAAGACGUCAGUGAGGAACUCUGGAUGACAGAAUACAAAGAAAGGGACGGGUUAGAGUGAGAAGAACGUUAGAAUCGGAAUGAAACAAUGAGAAGGAAAUCAAAGAAACCAUUCCAGCCAGUCCCACGAUCGAAUGUGCUUUUCCGAUGGGUCAGGCUCACCAACAUGUGAUUCAGAAACCUGUGAGCGCGUUAAUAAAACGAAUCCUUUAUCC